AUUGGGGGCGCAACGCCCUCG
Molecule: small nuclear RNA, 21 nt
Filed under: Arabidopsis thaliana (thale cress)
Lineage: Eukaryota; Viridiplantae; Streptophyta; Magnoliopsida; Brassicales; Brassicaceae
Description: snRNA_16789
Source: RNAcentral